UACGUAGGGGGCGAGCGUUGUCCGGAUUUAUUGGGCGUAAAGAGCGUGUAGGCGGCCAGGUAGGUCUGCUGUGAAAACUCGAGGCUCAACCUCGAGACGUCGGCGGAAACCAUCUGGCUAGAGUCCGGAAGAGGAGAGUGGAAUUCCUGGUGUAGCGGUGAAAUGCGCAGAUAUCAGGAAGAACACCCGUGGCGAAGGCGGCGACCUGGGUAGAUACUGACGCUGAGGUGCGAAAGCGUGGGGAGCAAACAGG
Molecule: ribosomal RNA, 253 nt
Filed under: uncultured bacterium
Lineage: Bacteria
Description: partial 16S ribosomal RNA
Rfam family: Bacterial small subunit ribosomal RNA
Source: RNAcentral